AGAUUGAUGCUGCUCAGCCUUGAGGACAAGGCUGAUUUGAAGAGGGAGGAACUGUUAGGACCCUUUUUUUGAGCUUUUGAAUAAUGUUUAUUGAGUCUGUUUAGUCCAGUUGUUUAUUGAGUCGAUUUGGUUCAAUUAGAGUCAAGUAGAGGUUUAUUUAAUAUUUAUUUAUUAUUAGAGUUCAAGUCCCGAUGGACUCUGGGUGGAACUCUAUAAAUAGGGAUGUAACUGCUUCUUUUCAGAAAUCUAUGAAAAAUACUAUUCUGUCUUUGGACAAACCCUAGGAGGCCGAUCCCCUCGAAGCGAUCAAGGAGGGCCGAUCCCCUCGAAGCGAUCAAGGAGGCCGAUCCCCUCGAAGAGAUCAUUAUCAUCCUCAUUUCUCC
RNAcentral lists this long non-coding RNA (383 nucleotides) under Musa acuminata (dwarf banana). RNAcentral describes it as "long non-coding RNA (MACU_LNC009716)". Lineage: Eukaryota; Viridiplantae; Streptophyta; Magnoliopsida; Zingiberales; Musaceae. The record is from RNAcentral.